AACGAACGCUGGCGGCAUGCCUAACACAUGCAAGUCGAACGAGACCUUCGGGUCUAGCGGCGCACGGGUGCGUAACGCGUGGGAACCUGCCCUUAGGUUCGGAAUAACUCCCCGAAAGGGGUCCUAAUACCGGAUAAUGUCUUCGGACCAAAGAUUUAUCGCCUUUGGAUGGGCCCGCGUUGGAUUAGCUGGUUGGUAGGGUAAAAGCCUACCAAGGCGGCGAUCCAUAGCUGGUCUGAGAGGAUGAUCAGCCGCACUGGGACUGGGACACGGCCCAGACUCCUACGGGAGGCAGCAGUGGUGAAUAUUGGACAAGGGGCGAGAGCCGGAUCCAGCAAUGCCGCGUGAGUGAUGAAGGCCUUAGGGUUGUAAAGCUCUUUUACCCGGGAUGAUAAUGACAGUACCGGGAGAAUAAGCUCCGGCUAACUCCAU
Molecule: ribosomal RNA, 432 nt
Filed under: uncultured bacterium
Lineage: Bacteria
Description: partial 16S ribosomal RNA
Rfam family: Bacterial small subunit ribosomal RNA
Source: RNAcentral